Molecule: ribosomal RNA, 405 nt
Filed under: uncultured Pseudomonas sp.
Lineage: Bacteria; Pseudomonadati; Pseudomonadota; Gammaproteobacteria; Pseudomonadales; Pseudomonadaceae
Description: bacterial SSU rRNA
Rfam family: Bacterial small subunit ribosomal RNA
Source: RNAcentral
AGGCCUUGACAUGCAGAGAACUUUCCAGAGAUGGAUUGGUGCCUUCGGGAACUCUGACACAGGUGCUGCAUGGCCGUCGUCAGCUCGUGUCGUGAGAUGUUGGGUUAAGUCCGUAACGAGCGCAACCCUUGUCCUUAGUUACCAGCACGUUAUGGUGGCACUCUAAGGAGACUGCCGGUGACAAACCGGAGGAAGGUGGGGAUGACGUCAAGUCAUCAUGGCCCUUACGGCCUGGGCUACACACGUGCUACAAUGGUCGGUACAAAGGGUUGCCAAGCCGCGAGGUGGAGCUAAUCCCAUAAAACCGAUCGUAGUCCGGAUCGCAGUCUGCAACUCGACUGCGUGAAGUCGGAAUCGCUAGUAAUCGUGAAUCAGAAUGUCACGGUGAAUACGUUCCCGGGCCUU